UUUGAUCUUGGUUCAGGAUGAACGCUAGCUACAGGCUUAACACAUGCAAGUCGAGGGGUAGCAGGGUAGCAAUACCGCUGACGACCGGCGCACGGGUGAGUAACACGUAUCCAACCUUCCCAUAACUCAGGGAUAGCCUUUCGAAAGAAAGAUUAAUACCUGGUAGUACUUUUUCAAGGCAUCUUGAGAAAGUUAAAGAUUUAUUGGUUAUGGAUGGGGAUGCGUUCCAUUAGAUAGUUGGUGAGGUAACGGCUCACCAAGUCUUCGAUGGAUAGGGGUUCUGAGAGGAAGGUCCCCCACAUUGGUACUGAGACACGGACCAAACUCCUACGGGAGGCAGCAGUGAGGAAUAUUGGUCAAUGGGCGAGAGCCUGAACCAGCCAAGUAGCGUGAAGGAUGAAGGUCCUAUGGAUUGUAAACUUCUUUUAUAGUAGAAUAAAGUGAUCCACGUGUGGAUUUUUGUAUGUAUACUAUGAAUAAGGAUCGGCUAACUCCGUGCCAGCCGCAGC
This 509-nucleotide ribosomal RNA is filed under the name uncultured bacterium. Its description in RNAcentral is "bacterial SSU rRNA". It matches the Rfam family "Bacterial small subunit ribosomal RNA", at positions 12 to 518 of the family's 1533-position model. The record is from RNAcentral.